UAGGCUUGACAUGCAUGGGAAAGCCCUGAGAAACCAGGGCCCCUCUUCGGAGUCCAUGCACAGGUGCUGCAUGGCUGUCGUCAGCUCGUGUCGUGAGAUGUUGGGUUAAGUCCCGCAACGAGCGCAACCCCCGUUCCCAGUUGACAGCGAGUUAUGUCGGGGACUCUGGGAAGACUGCCGGUGCCAAACCGGAGGAAGGUGGGGAUGACGUA
RNAcentral lists this unclassified non-coding RNA (212 nucleotides) under uncultured Gemmatimonadaceae bacterium. RNAcentral's name for it is "contains 16S-23S intergenic spacer region". It matches the Rfam family "Bacterial small subunit ribosomal RNA", at positions 976 to 1186 of the family's 1533-position model. The record is from RNAcentral. Lineage: Bacteria; Pseudomonadati; Gemmatimonadota; Gemmatimonadia; Gemmatimonadales; Gemmatimonadaceae.